UCAGGACGAACGCUGGCGGCGUGCCUAACACAUGCAAGUCGAACGGGAUUUGUUUCGGCAGAAUCCUAGUGGCGAACGGGUGAGUAACGCGUAGGCAACCUGCCCUCCGGCCGGGGACAACACUCCGAAAGGGGUGCUAAUACCGGAUACGAAGUCUGUGCCGCAUGGUACGGAUUUGAAAGAUGGCCUCUAUUUAUAAGCUAUCGCCGGGGGAUGGGCCUGCGUCCGAUUAGCUGGUUGGUGGGGUAACGGCCUACCAAGGCGACGAUCGGUAGCCGGUCUGAGAGGAUGAACGGCCACAUUGGGACUGAGACACGGCCCAGACUCCUACGGGAGGCAGCAGUGGGGAAUCUUCCGCAAUGGGCGCAAGCCUGACGGAGCAACGCCGCCGUGAGUGAGGAAGUUCUUCGGAACGUAAAGCUCUGUUGUUCCUGACGAACCUCCCUUCUAUCAACAACGGAGGGGACUGACGGUAGGGAACGAGGAAGCCACGGCUAACUACGUGCCAGCCGCCGC
Molecule: ribosomal RNA, 516 nt
Filed under: uncultured bacterium
Lineage: Bacteria
Description: bacterial SSU rRNA
Rfam family: Bacterial small subunit ribosomal RNA
Source: RNAcentral